UACUGACUGACUUGAGGUUUGCUUUCUCACUUGUAAUGAGAUAUACCUGUAUGCUCUUCCAGACACUGCAUGCACUUCUGAGGAGUUGUGUAUAAAAUGGGUGACCUACCACUGUGGCCGCUGUGUAGAAUGGAACAUUUAGACUCUCAAACCAAGCCUUCAGAAGCACCCAUAAGAUAAUGGAGCACUAUCAGAGCCCCAUUAAAUGUGGCCCACCCUACUACCAGGUACUUCGAAGAAUAUGUCAGGCCCCAGGACUCUGAGAUUCCACUGACUACCUCUGCAGCACUGGAAGAGGCUGAGAAGGCUUCUCGCUCCCAGCCCUGGUGUGAAAGCCCAGCCUGGUUCUACUUGAGAAGGACAGACAGACAGGUUGGGGCCACAAUGGCUUGGGUGCCAUCCUCUGAGAAUUCCUGCUUCCUUCUGUCUGGAUCAGACCAUGUCAAACAAGAUGAUUUCUUUGUCUUUCUCCUCUGGGGACCAGUCUGAUUGCUUUCUGAGCAAACCAGGAUGGAUUCUGACUCUGCGUAUGGAACUGUUAUGAGGAAUGGAGAUUUCUGGAAGUCUCUUGGAGAGAGAGUGCCCUGCAUGGAGAGGCCUAGA
Molecule: non-coding RNA, 603 nt
Organism: Heterocephalus glaber (naked mole-rat)
Lineage: Eukaryota; Metazoa; Chordata; Mammalia; Rodentia; Bathyergidae
Source: RefSeq, a predicted model, not a curated record